GCUUGCUAUUUUGCUGACGAGUGGCGGACGGGUGAGUAAUGCUUGGGAAUUUGCCUUGUUGUGGGGGACAACAGUUGGAAACGACUGCUAAUACCGCAUAAUGUCUUCGGACCAAAGGUGGCCUCUAUUUAUAUGCUAUCGCAACAAGAUGAGCCCAAGUGGGAUUAGCUAGUUGGUAAGGUAAUGGCUUACCAAGGCGACGAUCCCUAGCUGGUCUUAGAGGAUGACCAGCCACACUGGAACUGAGACACGGUCCAGACUCCUACGGGAGGCAGCAGUGGGGAAUAUUGCACAAUGGAGGAAACUCUGAUGCAGCCAUGCCGCGUGUGUGAAGAAGGCUUUCGGGUUGUAAAGCACUUUCAGCGAGGAGGAAAGGGUGUUGCUUAAUACGCAACAUCUGUGACGUUACUCGCAGAAGAAGCACCGGCUAACUCCGUGCCAGCAGCCGCGGUAAUACGGAGGGUGCAAGCGUUAAUCGGAAUUACUGGGCGUAAAGCGCGCGUAGGU
RNAcentral lists this ribosomal RNA (507 nucleotides) under uncultured bacterium. Its description in RNAcentral is "bacterial SSU rRNA". It matches the Rfam family "Bacterial small subunit ribosomal RNA", at positions 74 to 576 of the family's 1533-position model. The record is from RNAcentral.